GCGGCCGUGGCGCGGCCCAGGCCGCUGUUCGCCCCGGUGAUCAGCACAGUCUUCCCGUGCAUGAGGCCGGGGUCCCCGCCUCUGCGCAGCCGCUGGACCCUGGGCCCCACGAACCGGCGGGCCGCCAGCCACAGCGCCCCGCCCAGAGCGGCCAGUACUGCCGCCGCAGUGGCCACUGCCAUCGUCAGGCCCGAGGGCCCACCGGCCCCUCCACGGGAGUUCCGCAGCCGCCGCCUUACCGGAACCCAAGAGACCACCUGUACGCGGAGAACGCUGGGGCGCGGCGGGUCGGCCCCUGACGCCAUAAGCUGCGAUGGAACCUAACCUCUGUGCCCCUUCAAUGUGGAACAUGUGGUCAUCAAAGAAGAUGUGGGGCCGGAUCUUCACCAAGAUGGGACUUUUGGGGGCUCCAGCAAGGAAAAGAGCUUCGUCUAUCUCUAGACCCCAGCGUCGAAGGGUCUUCAGCACACGGGCGCCUGAACUGGCUGCACUCCUAGCUGUAACCAGCCAUCAUCCAUGGAAAGUCCAGAUUAGCCUCCUGGAUGGAUUUGUGAGAAGCAGAGCCUCUCCUCCAAGCCAGAGAAGCCAUUGUGUACCAGCUCGCCCUAUUAGCAUACCAUGUGCCCAGGAGUAAACAGUGCCCAGAGAUGCUCUCUGCACCACACCACCACUGCUGGGGUCGGGGAGCGGAGUUGGUGAUCCAGGAAUGUUUUCCUGUUUCUUCAGUGCCUCUUUCAGUGAUAUGAAGUUAAAACCAGGGACACAGGAGAGAAUUAAGCUGACACCAGGAGACACAGCUGACACUGGGGAGAAGUGGUGAAGACAGCAUCCUGGAAGAGGUGAGACUACUGUCUCUGAAGUUACUACAACUCUUCCAUUAAUUUUGUGAGCUUCCAUCGUUUCCUACAUGAACAUUUAUUAAAAUAUUUCCAAUGCAGACUAUGGAGAGAUAGAGAAGAG
RNAcentral lists this long non-coding RNA (960 nucleotides) under Homo sapiens (human). RNAcentral describes it as "long non-coding RNA NONHSAT181352.1". The record is from RNAcentral. Lineage: Eukaryota; Metazoa; Chordata; Mammalia; Primates; Hominidae.